This 402-nucleotide ribosomal RNA is filed under the name uncultured prokaryote. RNAcentral's name for it is "bacterial SSU rRNA". It matches the Rfam family "Bacterial small subunit ribosomal RNA", at positions 355 to 774 of the family's 1533-position model. The record is from RNAcentral.
UGGGGAAUAUUGGGCAAUGGGCGAAAGCCUGACCCAGCAACGCCGCGUGAAGGAUGACGGUUUUCGGAUCGUAAACUCCUUUGAUAGGGGACGAAAUUGACGGUACUCGAGGAACAAGCAACGGCUAACUACGUGCCAGCAGCCGCGGUAAUACGUAGGUGGCAAGCGUUAUCCGGAAUCACUGGGCGUAAAGGGCGUGUAGGCGGGAAGAUAAGUCGGGAGUGAAAUCCCAGGGCUUAACCCUGGAGCUGCUUCCGAAACUGUCUUUCUAGAAUGUCGGAGAGGAAGGUGGAAUUCCCAGUGUAGCGGUGAAAUGCGUAGAGAUUGGGAGGAACACCAGUGGCGAAGGCGACUUUCUGGACGAUAACUGACGCUGAGGCGCGAAAGCGUGGGGAGCAAACA